This 1472-nucleotide ribosomal RNA is filed under the name metagenome. RNAcentral describes it as "bacterial SSU rRNA". It matches the Rfam family "Bacterial small subunit ribosomal RNA". The record is from RNAcentral.
AGAGUUUGAUCCUGGCUCAGCGUGAACGCUGGCGGCAUGGCUAAAACAUGCAAGUCGAACGGCAAAGUUGUAGCAAUACAGCAAGUAAGUGGCGAAAGGGCGAGUAAUACGUUUCUAACGUGCCCCGGACUUGGGGAUAGCUCACCGAAAGGUGAAUUAAUACCCGAUGAUGCUGACGGGUCUCAUGGCCUGUCAGCCAAAGGUUUACUGGUCUGGGAUCGGGAAACGUCCUAUCAGCUAGUUGGUGAGGUAACGGCUCACCAAGGCUAAGACGGGUAGCGGGUGUGAGAGCACGGCCCGCCGCAUCGGGACUGAGACACUGCCCGGACUCCCACGGGAGGCUGCAGUAACGAAUAUUCCGCAAUGGACGCAAGUCUGACGGAGCGAUGCCGCGUGCAGGACGAAGCCCCUCGGGGUGUAAACUGCUGUCAGGGUUUAGCAAAAAAAUGAGCAGACCCAAAGGAAGAGACGGCUAACUCUGUGCCAGCAGCCGCGGUAAUACAGAGGUCUCGAGCGUUACGCGGAUUUACUAGGGCUUAAAGGGUGCGUAGGCGGGUUCGUAAGUGCUUUGUGAAAUCCCACGGCUUAACCGUGGAAUAGCUUGGCAUACUGCGAGCCUUGAGGUCGGUAGAGGUCGCUGGAACUCUAGGUGGAGCGGUGAAAUGCGUAGAUAUCUAGAGGAACGCCAAAGGUGAAGACAGGCGACUGGGCCGAUUCUGACGCUGAGGCACGAAAGCGUGGGUAGCGAACGGGAUUAGAUACCCCGGUAGUCCACGCCCUAAACGAUGCGCACUAGAUCGUGGAGGCUCUGACGCCAUCAUGAUCGAAGCAAAAGUGUAAGUGCGCCGCCUGGGGAGUACGGUCGCAAGACUAAAACUCAAAGGAAUUGACGGGGGCUCACACAAGCGGUGGAGCAUGUGGCUCUAUUCGAAGCAACGCGAAGAACCUUAUCCAAGGCUUGACAUGCACGGAUUAGGUCGCUGAAAGGCGACUGACGCUCUUGCAGUGGAACGUGCACAGGUGCUGCAUGGCUGUCGUCAGCUCGUGCUGUGAAGUGUCGGGUUAAGUCCUUCAACGAGCGAAACCCCUGUCGUUAGUUGCCACCAGGUUAUGCUGGGGACUCUAGCGAGACUGCCGGUGUCAAACCGGAGGAAGGUGGGGAUGACGUCAAGUCCUCAUGGCCUUUAUGCCUUGGGCUGCACACGUGCUACAAUGGCGCGUACAGAGCGAAGCGAGACCGCAAGGUGGAGCAAAUCGCAAAAAACGCGCCCCAGUUCAGAUUGGGGUCUGCAACUCGACCCCAUGAAGUUGGAAUCGCUAGUAAUCGAGGAUCAGCUACGCCUCGGUGAAUGUGUUCCUGAGCCUUGUACACACCGCCCGUCAAGCCAUGGGAGCCGGGAAUACCCGAAGUCGUCUCGAUUCAGAGAUGCCGACGGUAGGCUCGGUGACUGGGGCUAAGUCGUAACAAGGUA